UACGGAGGAUGCGAGCGUUAUCCGGAUUUAUUGGGUUUAAAGGGAGCGUAGGUGGAUUGUUAAGUCAGUUGUGAAAGUUUGCGGCUCAACCGUAAAAUUGCAGUUGAAACUGUUAUUCUAGAGUAUGGGAGAGGUAGGUGGAAUUCUUGGUGUAGGGGUAAAAUCCGUAGAGAUCAAGAGGAAUACUCAUUGCGAAGGCGACCUGCUAGAACAUAACUGACGCUGAUGCGCGAAAGCGUGGGGAGCAAACAGG
This 253-nucleotide ribosomal RNA is filed under the name uncultured bacterium. Its description in RNAcentral is "partial 16S ribosomal RNA". It matches the Rfam family "Bacterial small subunit ribosomal RNA", at positions 524 to 776 of the family's 1533-position model. The record is from RNAcentral.